This 253-nucleotide ribosomal RNA is filed under the name uncultured bacterium. RNAcentral's name for it is "partial 16S ribosomal RNA". It matches the Rfam family "Bacterial small subunit ribosomal RNA", at positions 524 to 776 of the family's 1533-position model. The record is from RNAcentral.
UACAGAGGGGGCCAGCGUUAUUCGGAAUUAUUGGGCGUAAAGGGCGCGUAGGCGGCUUUGCGUGUCUUUCGUGAAAUCCCUCGGCUCAACUGAGGACGUGCGGAAGAAACUGCAGGGCUGGAGUCCGGGAGAGGAGGGUGGAAUUCCCAGUGUAGCGGUGAAAUGCGUAGAUAUUGGGAGGAACACCGGUGGCGAAGGCGGCCCCCUGGACCGGUACUGACGCUGAGGUGCGAAAGCCAGGGGAGCAAACGGG